Molecule: ribosomal RNA, 253 nt
Filed under: uncultured bacterium
Lineage: Bacteria
Description: partial 16S ribosomal RNA
Rfam family: Bacterial small subunit ribosomal RNA
Source: RNAcentral
UACGUAGGGUGCAAGCGUUGUCCGGAUUUAUUGGGCGUAAAGAGCUCGUAGGCGGUUUGUCGCGUCGGAUGUGAAAACCCAGGGCUCAACCCUGGGCCUGCAUUCGAUACGGGCAGACUAGAGUAUGGCAGGGGAGACUGGAAUUCCUGGUGUAGCGGUGAAAUGCGCAGAUAUCAGGAGGAACACCGGUGGCGAAGGCGGGUCACUGGUCCGGUACUGACGCUGAGGUGCGAAAGCGUGGGGAGCAAACAGG